UCUCUCCGUACGGGAAGGAUGAGAAGCUUCGACUAAGGUUCGAUUCGAGCGCAGCGAGAAAGCGUUGCCGCAGGCAACGACCCGAAGGGCGAAGCGCGCAGCGCUGAGUCAUCCUUCCCCCACCACCA
This 128-nucleotide small RNA is filed under the name Salmonella enterica subsp. enterica serovar Berta. RNAcentral's name for it is "RtT sRNA". It matches the Rfam family "RtT RNA". From Rfam's summary of the family: This family represents a bacterial cis-regulatory element known as RtT RNA. The exact function of RtT is unknown although it is thought that it may be involved in changing the cellular response in relation to amino acid starvation. RNAcentral also lists the same sequence under 3 other names. Lineage: Bacteria; Pseudomonadati; Pseudomonadota; Gammaproteobacteria; Enterobacterales; Enterobacteriaceae. The record is from RNAcentral.